AUUGAACGCUGGCGGCAUGAUUUACACAUGCAAGUCGAACGGUAACAGGCCGCAAGGUGCUGACGAGUGGCGAACGGGUGCGUAAUGCAUCGGAACGUGCCCAGUCGUGGGGGAUAACUACUCGAAAGAGUAGCUAAUACCGCAUACGAUCUAUGGAUGAAAGCGGGGGACCGUAAGGCUUCGCGCGAUUGGAGCGGCCGAUGUCAGAUUAGGUAGUUGGUGGGGUAAAGGUUCACCAAGCAAACGAUCUGUAGCGGGUUUGAGAGGACGACCAGCCACACUGGGACUGAGACACGGCCCAGACUCCUACGGGAGGCAGCAGUGGGGAAUUUUGGACAAUGGGCGCAAGCCUGAUCCAGCAAUGCCGCGUGCAGGAAGAAGGCCUUCGGGUUGUAAACUGCUUUUGUACGGAACGAAACGGCUCUGGUUAAUACCCGGGGCUAAUGACGGUACCGUAAGAAUAAGCACCGGCUAACUACGUG
Molecule: ribosomal RNA, 482 nt
Filed under: uncultured bacterium
Lineage: Bacteria
Description: partial 16S ribosomal RNA
Rfam family: Bacterial small subunit ribosomal RNA
Source: RNAcentral